UACGGGGGGGGCAAGCGUUGUUCGGAAUUACUGGGCGUAAAGGGCUCGUAGGCGGCCAACUAAGUCAGACGUGAAAUCCCUCGGCUUAACUGGGGAACUGCGUCUGAUACUGGAUGGCUUGAAUCCGGGAGAGGGAUGCGGAAUUCCAGGUGUAGCGGUGAAAUGCGUAGAUAUCUGGAGGAACACCGGUGGCGAAGGCGGCAUCCUGGACCGGCAUUGACGCUGAGGAGCGAAAGCCAGGGGAGCAAACGGG
Molecule: ribosomal RNA, 253 nt
Filed under: uncultured bacterium
Lineage: Bacteria
Description: partial 16S ribosomal RNA
Rfam family: Bacterial small subunit ribosomal RNA
Source: RNAcentral